CAAAAAAUAGUUUAAGAACAAAAUUUUAAUUUUGGAAAUUAAAGAUUUAAUAAUUUAAUUUUUUGA
Molecule: transfer RNA, 66 nt
Filed under: Megalyra sp. MM-2014
Lineage: Eukaryota; Metazoa; Arthropoda; Insecta; Hymenoptera; Megalyridae
Description: tRNA-Pro
Source: RNAcentral